Molecule: ribosomal RNA, 486 nt
Filed under: uncultured bacterium
Lineage: Bacteria
Description: partial 16S ribosomal RNA
Rfam family: Bacterial small subunit ribosomal RNA
Source: RNAcentral
AUUGAACGCUGGCGGCAUGCCUUACACAUGCAAGUCGAACGGCAGCACGGGUGCUUGCACCUGGUGGCGAGUGGCGAACGGGUGAGUAAUACAUCGGAACAUGUCCUGUAGUGGGGGAUAGCCCGGCGAAAGCCGGAUUAAUACCGCAUACGAUCUACGGAUGAAAGCGGGGGACCUUCGGGCCUCGCGCUAUAGGGUUGGCCGAUGGCUGAUUAGCUAGUUGGUGGGGUAAAGGCCUACCAAGGCGACGAUCAGUAGCUGGUCUGAGAGGACGACCAGCCACACUGGGACUGAGACACGGCCCAGACUCCGACGGGAGGCAGCAGUGGGGAAUUUUGGACAAUGGGCGAAAGCCUGAUCCAGCAAUGCCGCGUGUGUGAAGAAGGCCUUCGGGUUGUAAAGCACUUUUGUCCGGAAAGAAAUCCUUGGCCCUAAUACGGUCGGGGGAUGACGGUACCGGAAGAAUAAGCACCGGCUAACUACGUG